Molecule: ribosomal RNA, 465 nt
Filed under: Vreelandella stevensii
Lineage: Bacteria; Pseudomonadati; Pseudomonadota; Gammaproteobacteria; Oceanospirillales; Halomonadaceae
Description: partial 16S ribosomal RNA
Rfam family: Bacterial small subunit ribosomal RNA
Source: RNAcentral
CCUACGGGUGGCCGCAGUGGGGAAUAUUGGACAAUGGGGGGAACCCUGAUCCAGCCAUGCCGGGUGUGUGAAGAAGGCCCUCGGGUUGUAAAGCACUUUCAGUGAGGAAGAACGCCUGGUGGUUAAUACCCAUCAGGAAAGACAUCACUCACAGAAGAAGCACCGGCUAACUCCGUGCCAGCAGCCGCGGUAAUACGGAGGGUGCGAGCGUUAAUCGGAAUUACUGGGCGUAAAGCGCGCGUAGGUGGCUUGAUAAGCCGGUUGUGAAAGCCCCGGGCUCAACCUGGGAACGGCAUCCGGAACUGUCAAGCUAGAGUGCAGGAGAGGAAGGUAGAAUUCCCGGUGUAGCGGUGAAAUGCGUAGAGAUCGGGAGGAAUACCAGUGGCGAAGGCGGCCUUCUGGACUGACACUGACACUGAGGUGCGAAAGCGUGGGUAGCAAACAGGAUUAGAUACCCCUGUAGUC